GAUGAACGCUGGCGGCGUGCCUAAUACAUGCAAGUCGAACGCAUUGAGAGAAGUGCUUGCACUUUUCAAUUUGAGUGGCGAACGGGUGAGUAACACGUGGGCAACCUACCUGAUAGCGGGGGAUAACGAGUGGAAACAUUCGCUAAUACCGCAUAACAAUAGAGAAGGCAUCUUCUUUAUUUAAAAGGCGCUUUCAAGCGUCACUAUCGGAUGGGCCCGCGGUGCAUUAGUUAGUUGGUGGGGUGAAGGCCUACCAAGACGAUGAUGCAUAGCCGAGUUGAGAGACUGAUCGGCCACAUUGGGACUGAGACACGGCCCAAACUCCUAUGGGAGGCUGCAGUAGGGAAUCUUCCACAAUGGACGAAAGUCUGAUGGAGCAACGCCGCGUGUGUGAUGAAGGCUUUCGGGUCGUAAAGCACUGUUGUAUGGGAAGAAAUGCUAGGCUAGGAAAUGAGCUUAGUUUGACGGUACCAUACCAGAAAGGGACGGCUAAAUACGUGCCAGCAGCCGCGGUAA
This 516-nucleotide ribosomal RNA is filed under the name uncultured bacterium. Its description in RNAcentral is "partial 16S ribosomal RNA". It matches the Rfam family "Bacterial small subunit ribosomal RNA", at positions 28 to 523 of the family's 1533-position model. The record is from RNAcentral.